CAGAGACUGUUAUACUGGGGAAGCCAUAGUUUAGGGUUUUGAGGGGAACUACUCACCCGGCUCACACUGUUUAGCUGCAACAUUUUCCCUCUUUCUUCCCUUUUCUUUGUUGAGCCAGAGACC
This is a long non-coding RNA of Populus euphratica (Euphrates poplar), 123 nucleotides long. RefSeq lists it as uncharacterized. The record is from RefSeq and is a predicted model, not a curated record. Lineage: Eukaryota; Viridiplantae; Streptophyta; Magnoliopsida; Malpighiales; Salicaceae. The transcript is spliced from 2 exons.